Molecule: ribosomal RNA, 468 nt
Filed under: uncultured bacterium
Lineage: Bacteria
Description: partial 16S ribosomal RNA
Rfam family: Bacterial small subunit ribosomal RNA
Source: RNAcentral
GACGAACGCUGGCGGCGUGCUUAACACAUGCAAGUCGAACGGAAAGACACUGCUUUUGUGGGGUGCUCGAGUGGCGAACGGGUGAGUAACACGUGAGUAACCUGCUCUUGACUUUGGGAUAACUUCAGGAAACUGGGGCUAAUACCGGAUCGGAGCUCCUGCUGCAUGGUGGGGGUUGGAAAGUUUCGGCGGGUGGGGAUGGACUCGCGGCUUAUCAGCUUGUUGGUGGGGUAGUGGCUUACCAAGGCUUUGACGGGUAGCCGGCCUGAGAGGGUGACCGGCCACAUUGGGACUGAGAUACGGCCCAGACUGCUACGGGAGGCAGCAGUGGGGAAUAUUGCACAAUGGGCGGAAGCCUGAUGCAGCAACGCUGCGGGCGGGAUGACGGCCUUCGGGGUGUAAACCGCUUUCGCCUGUGACGAAGCGUGAGUGACGGUAAUGGGUAAAGAAGCACCGGCUAACUACGUG